Molecule: long non-coding RNA, 374 nt
Filed under: Nicotiana benthamiana
Lineage: Eukaryota; Viridiplantae; Streptophyta; Magnoliopsida; Solanales; Solanaceae
Description: long non-coding RNA (NBEN_LNC002062)
Source: RNAcentral
CCUUAUGCAACUCUUCGUUAACAAAUUCAUAAGGGUCAGCUAAAGUCUACUCCUACUACUAAAAUACGUUACAAACUACUAAAAAAGAAUAUAAAAAAGAAUUCUAAUUUUUUUGGGGCCAGGGGAAUAUAAAAGAUGUGUGGGCAUUUUCUUUUUUAAAUUCUAUUACAGUUGGGGAUGGGAAAGGGAAAGAGGAGGCAGAAUUAGGAGAAUUAAACCUACACCUAUAGUAUGGAAGAAUUAAUUCCAUCAGUAGGGGAAGAUGGAAAAAGAAUAGUACUGGAUUGAACUCACACCUAUUAUGUGAAAGACUUAUACCGACACCAAUUAAACUAUAUUUAGGUUUUGGUUAUUGUGAGGCCAUUUUUUUUUUU